Molecule: long non-coding RNA, 605 nt
Filed under: Mytilus galloprovincialis (Mediterranean mussel)
Lineage: Eukaryota; Metazoa; Mollusca; Bivalvia; Mytilida; Mytilidae
Source: RNAcentral
CCAUUAAGGUACAGUAUUCGACAAUCGAUUGAUUCGACAAGAGUUGAUUUUUCCUUCAGAUUUUAGUUCAAUUCAAUUAUAAAGAAUGAAUUGAAUAGACACAUUAACGAUCGAUUUAUUCAACAAAUCUUUAAUGAUAGAUACGAUCGAUAACGAUUGAACAUUGUUUGUAGAUUCAAUCAACUCAAUUUAUUAAUGAUGGAUACUCGAUCGUAACGAUUGAUACGAUUGAUUUUGUCGAUUCAAUCAACUCAAAUCAAUACAUACGUGUUAUGACACAGACUCGAUCAUAACGAUCGAUAACGAUUGAACGUCAUAUGUCGAAUCAAUCAACUCAAUGUAUUUUUAUGAUGAAGACUCGAUCGUAACGAUCGAUACGAUCGAUAACGAUUGAACGUCAAAUGUCGAAUCAAUCAACUCAAUGUGUAAUGAUGAAGACUCGAUCGUAACGAUCGAUACGAUCGAUAACGAUUGAACGUCAAAUGUCGAAUCAAUCAACUCAAUGUGUUUUGAUGAAGGCUCGAUCGUAACGAUCGAUACGAUCGAUACGAUCGAUAACGAUUGAACGUCAUAUGUCGAAUCAAUCAACUCCAUGUAUUUUGAUA